AUUAAUAGAAAUAUAUAGCAAAAUACAUAUUUUUCAAUUCUAUUCCAGUUAUUGGUAAAAGUGAUGACCUGUAAAUAAUGUUAAAUGUCUCGCUGUACACUGUAUGGUGGAGCCGUUGCUAAAGUUUAAAUCUGAACUUUACUAGAAAACCUUCAGUGAUUUGAGUCUGGAUCCGGAUCUGCUCAUAUUCAGAUAUUCAGAUUAAUAUACUGAAGCUGGUCUUGUAGAUGUAAUCAGAACUGAAUUGAAUGAUAUCAUUUUUAACAUUUUGACUAUCGUAGAGGAUACAAUAUUAUGAAAAACGUUUAUUUUGACUCUGUUCUCACUUCAGUAAUUGUGUGUUGUGUGUGUUAUUGAGUGACUGUCUUCAGGGAAAUGAUGUGGAGUGUGUUUGCAUAUUGAUCAGAUCUUCAGUGUGUGAGAGUGUUUAUAGUGCUGUGAGUUUAACACUUCAUCACUGACACACACAACAAUCUUCAUCAACAUGACCUUCAUCAUCAUCUUCAUCUGGACUCUCACAGCGUUUGCUCAAGAGUGUAGAGGACAGAUCACCGUCACUCAGAGUCCCUCAAUAACAGCAGAACAACCAGGAGGAACUGUGAAUAUCAAAUGUAAAACCAGCAGAGAUGUGUACAGUGUUGGUUCUGUUUAUUUCUUAUCCUGGUACUUACAGAAACCUGGAGAAGCUCCUAAACUCCUGAUUUAUUACGCAAACCGCCUCGAGUCAGGAACUCCAUCUAGAUUCAGUGGCAGUGGAUCUAACAGUGAUUUCACUCUGAGCAUCAGUGGAGUCCAGACUGAAGAUGCUGGACAUUAUUACUGUCAGAGUUAUCACAGUGGUAAUGUGUUCACACAGUGAUAAAGAGUCGUACAAAAACCUCCGUCAG
This is a non-coding RNA of Rhinichthys klamathensis goyatoka, 887 nucleotides long. The record is from the annotation of a RefSeq genome assembly. Lineage: Eukaryota; Metazoa; Chordata; Actinopteri; Cypriniformes; Leuciscidae.